This 497-nucleotide ribosomal RNA is filed under the name uncultured bacterium. Its description in RNAcentral is "partial 16S ribosomal RNA". It matches the Rfam family "Bacterial small subunit ribosomal RNA", at positions 28 to 507 of the family's 1533-position model. The record is from RNAcentral.
GAUGAACGCUGGCGGCGUGCCUAAUACAUGCAAGUCGAGCGAACAGAUGAGGAGCUUGCUCCUCUGACGUUAGCGGCGGACGGGUGAGUAACACGUGGAUAACCUACCUAUAAGACUGGGAUAACUUCGUGAAACCGGAGCUAAUACCGCAUAAUAUAUUCAACCGCAUGGUUCAAUAGUGAAUGACGGUUUUGCUGUCACUUAUAGAUGGAUCCGCGCCGCCUUAGCUAGUUGGUAAGGUAACGGCUUAACAAGGCAACGAUGCGUAGACGACAUGAGAGGGUGAUCGGCCACACUGGAAGUGAGACACGGUCCAGACACCUACGGGAGGCAGCAGUAGGGAAUCUUCCGCAAUGGGCGAAAGCCUGACGGAGCAACGCCGCGUGAGUGAUGAAGGUCUGCGGAUCGUAAAACUCUGUUAUUAGGGAAGAACAAAUGUGUAAGUAACUAUGCACGUCUUGACGGUACCUAAUCAGAAAGCCACGGCUAACUACGUG